AGCCCCGGCACAAGUUAAUGCGCUUCUCCAGAUUCGCACUGUGAUGUGAAACCCCACAAGGC
Molecule: transfer RNA, 62 nt
Filed under: Cryptoblepharus keiensis
Lineage: Eukaryota; Metazoa; Chordata; Lepidosauria; Squamata; Scincidae
Description: tRNA-Cys
Source: RNAcentral